GGAUUAGAUACCCUGGUAGUCCACGCCGUAAACGAUGAGUGCUAGUUGUUGGAGGAUUAUACCCCUUCAGUGACGCAGUUAACGCAUUAAGCACUCCGCCUGGGGAGUACGGCCGCAAGGCUAAAACUCAAAGGAAUUGACGGGGGCCCGCACAAGCAGUGGAGUAUGUGGUUUAAUUCGACGCAACGCGCAGAACCUUACCCGGUCUUGACAUUGUUGGGAAUUCUGUAGAAAUACAGAAGUGCCUCCGCAAGGAGGAGCCCUUUAACAGGUGCUGCAUGGCUGUCGUCAGCUCGUGCCG
Molecule: ribosomal RNA, 301 nt
Filed under: uncultured bacterium
Lineage: Bacteria
Description: bacterial SSU rRNA
Rfam family: Bacterial small subunit ribosomal RNA
Source: RNAcentral